RNAcentral lists this ribosomal RNA (253 nucleotides) under uncultured bacterium. RNAcentral describes it as "partial 16S ribosomal RNA". It matches the Rfam family "Bacterial small subunit ribosomal RNA", at positions 524 to 776 of the family's 1533-position model. The record is from RNAcentral.
UACGGAGGGUGCAAGCGUUAAUCGGAUUUACUGGGCGUAAAGCGCACGCAGGUGGACUGUCAAGUCGGAUGUGAAAUCCCCGGGCUCAACCCGGGAACUGCAUUCGAAACUGGAAGACUAGAGUCUUGUAGAGGGGGGUAGAAUUCCAGGUGUAGCGGUGAAAUGCGUAGAGAUCUGGAGGAAUACCGGUGGCGAAGGCGGCCGCCUGGACAAAGACUGACGCUCAGGUACGAAAGCGUGGGGAGCAAACAGG